RNAcentral lists this ribosomal RNA (253 nucleotides) under uncultured bacterium. RNAcentral describes it as "partial 16S ribosomal RNA". It matches the Rfam family "Bacterial small subunit ribosomal RNA", at positions 524 to 776 of the family's 1533-position model. The record is from RNAcentral.
UACGAACUGUGCGAACGUUAUUCGGAAUCACUGGGCUUACAGGGUGCGUAGGCGGCUUGUUGAGUAGGGUGUGAAAGCCCCCGGCUCAACCGGGGAAUGGCGCCCUAAACUGGCGAGCUAGAGUGAGAUAGGGGUGUGUGGAACUUCCGGUGGAGCGGUGAAAUGUGUUGAUAUCGGAAGGAACGCCGGUGGCGAAAGCGACACACUGGAUCUUGUCUGACGCUGAGGCACGAAAGCCAGGGGAGCGAACGGG